CCUACGGGAGGCAGCAGUGAGGAAUAUUGGUCAAUGGACGAGAGUCUGAACCAGCCAAGUAGCGUGAAGGAUGACUGCCCUAUGGGUUGUAAACUUCUUUUAUAAAGGAAUAAAACGAGGCACGUGUGCCUUUUUGCAUGUACUUUAUGAAUAAGGAUCGGCUAACUCCGUGCCAGCAGCCGAGGUAAUACGGAGGAUCCGAGCGUGAUCCGGAUUGAUUGGGUUUAAAGGGAGCGUAGAUGGGUUGUUAAGUCAGUUGUGAAAGUUUGCGGCUCAACCGUAAAAUUGCAAUUGAUACUGGCAGUCUUGAGUACAGUUGAGGUAGGCGGAAUUCGUGGUGUAGCGGUGAAAUGCUUAGAUAUCACGAAGAACCCCGAUUGCGAAGGCAGCUUACUAAACUGUGACUGACAUUGAUGCUCGAAAGUGUGGGUAUCAAACAGGAUUAGAUACCCUGGUAGUC
This 460-nucleotide ribosomal RNA is filed under the name uncultured bacterium. RNAcentral describes it as "partial 16S ribosomal RNA". It matches the Rfam family "Bacterial small subunit ribosomal RNA", at positions 338 to 795 of the family's 1533-position model. The record is from RNAcentral.